CAGAGUAAAGCCAGAUUUAAAGAAAAAAAAAAAAAGUAUUGGUCAGUAUGCUGUCAGUUGCUGUCAGUCAUCUCAAUCUUUUGUUUCUGGUCGGUGAUCUCAAUGUCAAUGUCAAAAACUUGAAGCUGCGAAACCGCGAAAUCAAAAACAUUGAAAACGUGUUAAUUUUUUGCAUUUGUUGUAAUUUUUCUCUUUUGAGGCAACAAACGCGCUGUGAUUUCAAACCGUAAACAUACAAAUUAACGAACCGUAAACAUACAAAACGAAUUAUGGACGACCAAAACCCAACACAAUCAGCUUUGCAUAAUAUGAAGCUAAUAAAAAAGUAUUUGAAGAUUAAAAUAAUGGAGGACAAUAUCUCGUUUACGGGUCGUAAGUAUGAAAGGGAACACGUCUACGAUUUGAUAGCACGGUCUGUUUUACACGGGGAGUCGCAUUCAGCGCUCAUCAUCGGACCCCGAGGCUCUGGUAAGACUACGCUCCUAAAUUGGGUGCUUCACCAGGUGUCCAACAAAGUAGACUUGGUUAAUGAUGCCUAUCUCAUCAAAUUGAACGGCCUCAUACAUCAUGAUGACAAACUCGCUUUUAAAUACAUCACUGCACAGAUGCGGCUAGAGAGUGCAGUCGGUGACAGAGUAUUUGGGUCCUUUGCUGAGAAACUGAGCUUUAUACUGCAAUGUCUGACGAGCGGUGCAGACAGACAGUGCAAAACUAUAGUGUUCAUAUUGGAGGAGUUUGACAUGUUCUGUCACGGUGCACACAGACAGACACUUCUGUACAAUCUGUUUAACAUCACACACACCAAUAAGGCGCCCGUGUGUGUAUUGGGCAUAACAAGUCACUUAAACGUUAUGGAGCUACUAGAUAAACGAGUGAAGUCCCGAUUCUCACAUAGGAACAUAUUCAUUUACUCCAACGAGACAGAAGUGGGUGCAGAGUGCCCCGUAACCAACUACAAAGAAAAGCUAGUUCAAUCUCUCAGUAUGCCCCUUAGCUUGGCAAAAAAAGAUAUGUCUGAAAAACGCAGAGGCAGGAAAUCGACAGUUAAUAUGGACGAGCAAAUGGAAGUUGAUGGUGAAAUCCAAUUUUGCAUACCAGAUGUCAUCCUAACUAAAUGCAAAACAGAUAAAAGACAAUUCCAGCAUCUGGAUUCCAGUUUUCUGGAAGAUUGGAAUGCCCACAUACAAAGCUUGGCGAACGACCAAAAAAUUCUGGAUUCUCUGGAAAAAUUGUACCACUUCACUGGCAAUGAACAAACCUUUAAAGAUAUUUUGUUUCAAACAGUGUCAAAGCUGUUACCAAACAAGCCAUACAUAGAUACCACAGAGCUAUGUAAUGCAAUAGACAGCGCAGUGUGCUCGGAGCAUAGAGUCAAGCUCCUACAAUCCCUGUCUAUUCUGGAGUUGUCUCUGGUCAUCGCGAUGGUACACGGAAUGGCCAUAUUCGACGGACAACCGAUGAACUUCGAAAUGGUUUUACACAGAUAUACCAAAUUCGCCAAUACGAACUCUUCAAACCAAUCCGUGCCGCGACCAGUGGUGCUGAAGGCAUUCGAACAUUUGGAGCUGCUACAGAUCAUAACCCCUUCAAAGAAUGCGCCCCACAGUUCAGAAGACGCGUGCACGAGUAGUGUGCAGAAGGAGUAUAAGCUUUACGCCCUGUCUGCGUCCGUGGAUGAUGUGAAGCAAGCCAUCGCGAGCUACAGAGCACUGCCGACUGAAAUUAGUCAUUGGUUCAAUAAUUCCAUUGACUGAGUUCCAGAAAUUCCGAAAUUAAUCAUUGGAACAAUGUUUCUAUUGACUGAGUUCUAGAAAUUCCGAAAUUAAUCAGUGAUUCAACAAUUCCAUUGAUUGAGUUCCAGAAAUUCCGAAAAUAGUCAUUGAUUCAACAGUUCCAUUGAUCGAAUUACAGAGAUUCCGAAAUUAAUCAUUGGUGUAACAAUUCCAUUUGACCAAGAUCCAGAAAUUCCGAAAUUAGUCAUUGGUUCAACGGUUCCAUUGACCGAGUUCCAGAAAUUCCGAAAGUAAUCAUUGGUUCAA
Molecule: RNA transcript, 2039 nt
Organism: Maniola jurtina (meadow brown)
Lineage: Eukaryota; Metazoa; Arthropoda; Insecta; Lepidoptera; Nymphalidae
Gene: Orc4
Gene name: origin recognition complex subunit 4
Exons: 8
Source: RefSeq, a predicted model, not a curated record